Molecule: ribosomal RNA, 474 nt
Filed under: uncultured bacterium
Lineage: Bacteria
Description: bacterial SSU rRNA
Rfam family: Bacterial small subunit ribosomal RNA
Source: RNAcentral
ACUCCUACGGGAGGCAGCAGUGGGGAAUUUUGGACAAUGGGCGAAAGCCUGAUCCAGCAAUGCCGCGUGAGUGAAGAAGGCCUUCGGGUUGUAAAGCUCUUUGUCAGGGAAGAAACGGUGAGGGCUAAUAUCCCUUGCUAAUGACGGUACCUGAAGAAUAAGCACCGGCUAACUACGUGCCAGCAGCCGCGGUAAUACGUAGGGUGCAAGCGUUAAUCGGAAUUACUGGGCGUAAAGCGUGCGCAGGCGGUUUGUAAGUCUGAUGUGAAACUCCCCCGGGCUCAACCUGGGAAUUGCAUUGGAGACUGCAAGGCUAGAAUCUGGCAGAGGGGGUAGAAUUCCACGUGUAGCAGUGAAAUGCGUAGAUAUGUGGAGGAACACCGAUGGCGAAGGCAGCCCCCUGGGUCAAGAUUGACGCUCAUGCACGAAAGCGUGGGGAGCAAACAGGAUUACGAUACCCCUGGUAGACUGUCA